UACGUAGGUGGCAAGCGUUGUCCGGAUUGACUGGGCGUAAAGAGCGCGCAGGCGGUCGUUCAAGUGGCGUGUGAAAGCCCCCGGCUCAACUGGGGAGGGUCACGCGAUACUGAUCGACUCGAAGGCAGGAGAGGGUAGUGGAAUUCCCGGUGUAGUGGUGAAAUGCGUAGAUAUCGGGAGGAACACCAGUGGCGAAGGCGACUACCUGGCCUGUUCUUGACGCUGAGGCGCGAAAGCUAGGGGAGCAAACGGG
RNAcentral lists this ribosomal RNA (253 nucleotides) under uncultured bacterium. Its description in RNAcentral is "partial 16S ribosomal RNA". It matches the Rfam family "Bacterial small subunit ribosomal RNA", at positions 524 to 776 of the family's 1533-position model. The record is from RNAcentral.